Branchiostoma belcheri (Belcher's lancelet) is the source of this 424-nucleotide long non-coding RNA. RefSeq lists it as uncharacterized. NCBI's taxonomy places the organism in Eukaryota, Metazoa, Chordata, Leptocardii, Amphioxiformes, Branchiostomatidae. The transcript has 3 exons. The record is from RefSeq and is a predicted model, not a curated record.
AUUUCACAAGGGGAAUUCAACUUGUACAGCAGCACCAAACCAAACAGACUUUUCCAGGUGCAAGCACGUCAUAGACGGUGCUCUGGAAGCAUCUCUUGCAACUGCGGCGUGGCCGUAAGGGAAGGUGACGACGCCGUCAUCAUAGACAGAUGUGACGGUGUCCGCCGGUCUCCAUCUUACAAGACUGCCAGUGGAGGUCCUUUGUCCCACGCAGUUACAAUCAAAACAGACACAACUGGAAACCAAAUCAGGGUUACAAUGCCUUCCGGAGCAAGUGUCAAGGUGGAAGGGCACCCCUGGAUGACGAUUACGGUACACGCCCCAGGGAUAGACUUCGGUCACACCAACGGACUCUGCGGGCUUUUCGACGAUAAUCCCCACAACGACCUGAUGAUGCCAGACGGCAGUAUCGCCAGUCAUCACA